Small nucleolar RNA from Macaca mulatta (Rhesus monkey), 104 nucleotides. The record is from Ensembl. Lineage: Eukaryota; Metazoa; Chordata; Mammalia; Primates; Cercopithecidae.
AUCCUCUUGUAGUUCAUGAGCUUGGUAAUUAAGUGUUCGCAUACAUGUGUGACAUGUACCACCCUGGAACCUUGUUAUAACGUUGGCACAUUACCCAUUUGACA